Molecule: long non-coding RNA, 686 nt
Organism: Ostrea edulis (European flat oyster)
Lineage: Eukaryota; Metazoa; Mollusca; Bivalvia; Ostreida; Ostreidae
Exons: 3
Source: RefSeq, a predicted model, not a curated record
UUUAUCAACAUUGUUGCCAAGUGGCCAGGGUCCAACCAUGAUUCUUUUAUUUUUCGAGAAUCAAAUAUUGGAACAUAUUUCGAAGCGCAUCAUAAAGGGAUCGAUGUGGAUGGACUACUGAUUGGUGACAGUGGAUAUGCAUGCAGCAAAUAUCUGGUGACUCCCUUUCUACGACCCACGACUGAGUCUCAGAUGAAAUAAAUGAUGCACAUACACAAACAAGGGCGGUGAUUGAGCGAAGUUUCGGGUUGCUGAAACGACGAUUUAUGGUCCUUCAUGGAGAAAUUAGGUGUAAACCGGAUCGUGCUGCAAAAAUAAUUGUAGCUUGUGCUGCACAACAUUGCUUUAGAGAGGAACGAUUGUAUGGAUGAUUUGGAGUGUGGACAUGCAGAUGAGCCACAUGUUCCAGAUUAUAUUGUAGUGGAACCAAGAAACAACAAUGUCAGACAGUUCAUUGUUCAAAAUUAUUUUAAUUAUAGUCAGUAUAAUUGCUAUCUUUAACUCCACCCCCAAGUGAGGUAUCCCAUGGGCCUCAAUGCUCACCUGAUUCACCUUCAACCUGUCAUUGUUUACCUGUUGUGAUUUUCAAGAAACCUUUUCAUCAAUAUUUAUUCCCAUAACAUGUUUACCCCCAUAUUGUGCCCUUAACCUAGCUCCAAAGGAUCACAACAUAACUGAAAAUGAAU